AGCAUGAAGUCUGCGGUGCUUCUGAAAUUUAAUGAAUAACAAAUAUCAAACAUUCCUAAAUCACGUAGUGGAAUGUACUCACGGUUAUAGAUUAUGUUUUAUACAUUUCAGAUAUAUUAGGCCACAUAAAAUAAAUUCCUUGAUUCUCAUCACUACACUUUGAAAAUGUCGAAGAGGCGGGAGGUUUAUAUUUUAUAUUUUAUAUUUAUAUAAUUUUUAUAUCAAUAUUAAAUAAAAGUGUCACAAACUGAAAUAAACAUAUUUCUCCACGAACAAUGACUGGCCCUUGAACUGAAUGCGAAGUUCUGUUAAAAUACAAUGAAAUUUCUUUCAAGGUUCUANNNNNNNNNNNNNNNNNNNNAAAAUAUAAAAAAAAAUUUGGACUUAAGCCUUUCAAAUGUGAAUUUUGUAAUACGAGAUUCACUCAAAAAUGCAAUAUGAAAAGACAUUUAGGGACGUGCAAGAUAGCGAUUGAACAUUCCCAAAACUCUUCAAAGGCAGACAAGGUUACGCCUCUUACACGGGGCGAUUCAGGGGUUUAUAUUUUAUAUUUAUAUAAUUUUUAUAUCAAUAUUAAAUAAAAGUGUCACAAACUGAAAUAAACAUAUUUCUCCACGAACAAUGACUGGCCCUUGAACUGAAUGCGAAGUUCUGUUAAAAUACAAUGAAAUUUCUUUCAAGGUUCUAUUUGUUUGAAAUUGGCAGUUUAAAAUGGCACUAAAAACCCAAUAUAAAAUAUAAAAAACUUAACUGUCUUGAAAUAUUUUGUCGGGCGGUACAUUUAUAUUGUAUUCACGCGGCUCUUAAAAUACAGUCGGGCGGUGAUGAGAAUCAAGGAAUUUAUUUUAUGUGGCCUAACGAUAACAGUCUAACAAUUACUUCGGAUUGUCAAUUUCCUAUUCAAGUCGAAAGAGUUCAGUUUGGUUGUUUAACAAAUUUAUGCUGACUUGUUUUUCUAUAUUAAGCUUAUUAUUCACUAUAAAAACCAAACGGGCUAGUAUAAGAGCCCUCUUAAAUUCCAGUUUCCUUUUGAU
This 1034-nucleotide long non-coding RNA is filed under the name Paramuricea clavata. The record is from RNAcentral. Lineage: Eukaryota; Metazoa; Cnidaria; Anthozoa; Malacalcyonacea; Plexauridae.